Molecule: transfer RNA, 66 nt
Filed under: Chamaemyia juncorum
Lineage: Eukaryota; Metazoa; Arthropoda; Insecta; Diptera; Chamaemyiidae
Description: tRNA-Tyr
Rfam family: tRNA
About the family: Transfer RNA (tRNA) molecules are approximately 80 nucleotides in length. Their secondary structure includes four short double-helical elements and three loops (D, anti-codon, and T loops).
Source: RNAcentral
GAUUAAAUGGCUGAAAAUUAGGCGAUAGACUGUAAAUUUAUUUAUAAGAAUGUUUCUUUUUAAUCA